UCUCUGUGAUGUUCUCAAUGGAUCCUACUGAGCCCUUUGCUGCACAGUCAUAGAAGGGCGUUUGAAGAGAUUCUGUAGCUGAGAGA
Small nucleolar RNA from Sceloporus undulatus (fence lizard), 86 nucleotides. The record is from RefSeq and is a predicted model, not a curated record. Lineage: Eukaryota; Metazoa; Chordata; Lepidosauria; Squamata; Phrynosomatidae.